Molecule: ribosomal RNA, 253 nt
Filed under: uncultured bacterium
Lineage: Bacteria
Description: partial 16S ribosomal RNA
Rfam family: Bacterial small subunit ribosomal RNA
Source: RNAcentral
UACGUAGGGGGCAAGCGUUGUCCGGAUUCAUUGGGCGUAAAGAGCGUGUAGGCGGCCAGGUAGGUCUGGUGUGAAAACUCGAGGCUCAACCUCGAGAGGUCAUCGGAAACCAUCUGGCUAGAGUCCGGAAGAGGAGAGUGGAAUUCCCGGUGUAGCGGUGAAAUGCGCAGAUAUCGGGAAGAACACCUAUGGCGAAGGCAGCUCUCUGGGACGGUACUGACGCUGAGGAGCGAAAGCGUGGGGAGCGAACAGG